This 433-nucleotide ribosomal RNA is filed under the name uncultured bacterium. RNAcentral's name for it is "partial 16S ribosomal RNA". It matches the Rfam family "Bacterial small subunit ribosomal RNA", at positions 29 to 507 of the family's 1533-position model. The record is from RNAcentral.
AACGAACGCUGGCGGCAUGCCUAACACAUGCAAGUCGAACGAGACCUUCGGGUCUAGUGGCUCACGGGUGCGUAACGCGUGGGAACCUGCCCUUAGGUUCGGGAUACCUCCCCGAAAGGGGUGCUAAUACCGGAUAAUGUCUUCGGACCACAGAUUUAUCGCCUUUGGAUGGGCCCGCGUUGGAUUAGCUAGUUGGUAGCGUAAAAGCCUACCAAGGCGACGAUCCAUAGCUGGUCUGAGAGGAUGAUCAGCCACACUGGGAGUGAGCCACGGCCCGGAAUCUUACGGGAGGCAGGAGUGGGGAAUAUUGGAAAAUCGGCGAAAGGCUGAUGCAGCAAUGCCGCGUGAGUGCUGAAGGCCUUAGGGUUGUAAAGCUCUUUUACCCGGGAUGAUAAUGACAGUACCGGGAGAAUAAGCGCCGGCUAACUUCGUG